UUUGCUAUAUAUCCUAAGGCUUCGCAUGAUCUUUUGUUUGGGACGAUGUUAAGAGCUGCUGGCGGUUACAUCCAUCAUGACUUCAGGAAUUUCUUAGACGUCGGCAGGUGUAAUAACCAGAUCAGGAGACAAUAUAGAAGAUUAAUGCAGGUGCGUAUCCAUGCAGUAGGUUUUGGUUCGGACUCAGCAAGCAUGGCAUGAUUACUAAUAAAAGGAGAUAAAGAUGGAAGGUCAAUGCAUCCAAGGCGUGAACAAGUUCAGACUUUACAAGUGCAGCAUGCAUGUCGUCAUGGAAGAUUGAAAGAGAUUAUAUGUAUGCAUGCAAGGGCAUGCCUCGCUUUUGGAAAGCACAUACACAUGUAUACGUGAUUCCUUUCUGUACACGUUUUGGUAAGAUUUGUUUUGUGGAGACAUAGCCGAACUUGAUUAGGCUUUGUUCGGUUAUUCUUGAGAAGACCAGCCACCUUAUAAAUAUGUAUAAGGGUGACGGCCGAGUGACAACACAUAAUUGACAUAUCAAUCUACUAUAUUAUUUUUUAUCUACUAUUUUCUCUCUGUUUUUUUUUUCUUCUUGUUCUUCGUUGCCAUCUACUUCAUUGUGACAGUGAGCACAAAGUCCUAAGGACGAUCCGGCUGACCUUGGGCAGCCCAUUGCUACUCUUUGACAGGGUUCCUAAACGCUAAACGGUGAACAAUCGGUCACCCUUCGUUUAGCGUUUAGACUGUUUAGACGGUGUUUAAAUAGAUUAAAAUGGUCUAAACGGUUUUACACAAUAUUACAAAAAUAUACAUAUUUUUUAAUGUAAAAUCAAUCAUUUUAUCAUGUAUACAUAUUUAUGCAACUAAAAAACCAUUUAUUUUAUUAUGUACAUAUGUUUAUGCAUGUUAUAAGAAUCAAAUAUACAUAUUUAUGCAUGUAACAAAUCAAUUUUACAUAUUUAUAAAUAUAAUAAAUUUAAGUAUAUAAAUUGUUGAUAUAAAAUUCAACUAGAUUCACCUAGUGUUU
This 1006-nucleotide long non-coding RNA is filed under the name Sorghum bicolor (sorghum). RNAcentral describes it as "long non-coding RNA (SBIC_LNC015341)". Lineage: Eukaryota; Viridiplantae; Streptophyta; Magnoliopsida; Poales; Poaceae. The record is from RNAcentral.